Molecule: long non-coding RNA, 554 nt
Organism: Microtus oregoni (creeping vole)
Lineage: Eukaryota; Metazoa; Chordata; Mammalia; Rodentia; Cricetidae
Exons: 3
Source: RefSeq, a predicted model, not a curated record
UCAGGAGGGUCCUGCUACUAUAGCCUUGAUGAGAGCCCAUUUCUUCGCGAUGAAGCGUCGUGGUCUGUGCUCCUCAUGCCCAUGUGCCCUGUGUCUAGAAGCCUCUUCUGUAUGUCAUCAAUGACUCGGUUGUCAGAAGCAGACCCAAAUCACAACCAAAUGACAAGGACCAGUUAGGCAAAAUGAGGAUCACAGAAGUUCGAGCCCAUGGUUUCCAUCUGGAAGAUCCAGGAGCAGGCCUUUGGGUGCAGCGAGCAGCACGGGAUGCUGGGAGCUUGUUUCUCUGCAAGAGCAAUGAUAUUCUUCCCUGUGACUUCUCCCAGUCUAGAGAAUCCAUGACCUUGGCUAAAAAUCAACAACUCUUUCUUCUGCUUCAGUUGGUUUUCCAGUUAAGAUGGCUAGGAGGGUCUCUUCCUAGUUGGAGACAGAUAUCAGAGCCUUGCAGGUUCACAGAUACAUGACACACAGGAGCAGCAUUUGCUUGGUACAUAAUUCAACAGCAAGUUCCAUGGCUGGUUUCCUGAAUGUGUCUUGAAUCUGCAUUCUCUCUUCAC